RNAcentral lists this unclassified non-coding RNA (160 nucleotides) under uncultured fungus. RNAcentral's name for it is "sequence contains ITS1, 5.8S rRNA gene". Lineage: Eukaryota; Fungi. The record is from RNAcentral.
CCGAGUAAAAGGUCUUCGGGCCUAACUCCCACCCUGUGUCUAUGUGAUCUUCGGCAAGACGUCUGAGGCGUCAGCCACAAGCCACUGGCGUUUGAGCGAGUGUGUGCUUGCCGAAGUCUAAAACUCUAUUUUGACGUCUGAGUCUACAAGAAAUAAAACA